This 253-nucleotide ribosomal RNA is filed under the name uncultured bacterium. RNAcentral's name for it is "partial 16S ribosomal RNA". It matches the Rfam family "Bacterial small subunit ribosomal RNA", at positions 524 to 776 of the family's 1533-position model. The record is from RNAcentral.
UACGUAGGGUGCAAGCGUUGUCCGGAAUUAUUGGGCGUAAAGAGCUCGUAGGCGGUUUGUCGCGUCUGCUGUGAAAACUCGGGGCUUAACUCCGGGCCUGCAGUGGGUACGGGCAGGCUAGAGGUAGGUAGGGGAGAAUGGAAUUCCCGGUGUAGCGGUGAAAUGCGCAGAUAUCGGGAGGAACACCGGUGGCGAAGGCGGUUCUCUGGGCCUUACCUGACGCUGAGGAGCGAAAGCGUGGGGAGCGAACAGG